AUUGAACGCUGGCGGCAGGCCUAACACAUGCAAGUCGAACGGUAGCACAGAGAGCUUGCUCUCGGGUGACGAGUGGCGGACGGGUGAGUAAUGUCUGGGAAACUGCCCGAUGGAGGGGGAUAACUACUGGAAACGGUAGCUAAUACCGCAUAACGUCUUCGGACCAAAGUGGGGGACCUUCGGGCCUCACACCAUCGGAUGUGCCCAGAUGGGAUUAGCUAGUAGGUGGGGUAAUGGCUCACCUAGGCGACGAUCCCUAGCCGGUCUGAGAGGAUGACCAGCCACACUGGAACUGGGACACGGUCCAGACUCCUGCGGGAGGCAGCAGUGGGGAAUAUUGCACAAUGGGCGCAAGCCUGAUGUAGCCAUGCCGCGUGUAUGAAGAAGGCCUUCGGGUUGUAAAGUACUUUCAGCGGGGAGGAAGGCGAUGGAGUUAAUAGCUUCAUCGAUUGACGUUACCCGCAGAAGAAGCACCGGCUAACUCCGUGCCAGCAGCCGCGGUAA
This 504-nucleotide ribosomal RNA is filed under the name uncultured bacterium. RNAcentral describes it as "partial 16S ribosomal RNA". It matches the Rfam family "Bacterial small subunit ribosomal RNA", at positions 30 to 523 of the family's 1533-position model. The record is from RNAcentral.